GACGAACGCUGGCGGCGUGCUUAACACAUGCAAGUCGAGCGGGAACCUCGGGAGGGGUAACCCUUCCGAGGGGAGAGCGGCGAACGGGUGAGUAACACGUGGGCAACCUGCCCCGGACACCGGGAUAACCCAGGGAAACCUGAGCUAAUACCGGAUACUCCGGCACGAUCGCAUGGUCGUUCCGGGAAAGCUCCGACGGUCCGGGAUGGGCCCGCGGCCUAUCAGCUUGUUGGUGAGGUAACGGCCCACCAAGGCGACGACGGGUAGCUGGUCUGAGAGGACGGCCAGCCACACUGGGACUGAGACACGGCCCAGACUCCUACGGGAGGCAGCAGUGGGGAAUCUUGCGCUAAUGCGCGAAAGCGUGACGCAGCGACGCCGCGUGGGGGAUGAAGGCC
This 398-nucleotide ribosomal RNA is filed under the name uncultured bacterium. Its description in RNAcentral is "bacterial SSU rRNA". It matches the Rfam family "Bacterial small subunit ribosomal RNA", at positions 28 to 416 of the family's 1533-position model. The record is from RNAcentral.